GACGAACGCUGGCGGCGUGCUUAACACAUGCAAGUCGAACGGGAUCCAAAGGCUUUUUGUUUUUGGUGAGAGUGGCGAACGGGUGAGUAACACGUGAGUAACCUGCCCCCUUCUUUUGGAUAACCGCAUGAAAGUGUGGCUAAUACAGGAUAUUCCAGGCUGGUCGCAUGAUUGGUUUGGGAAAUGGUUUGGUCUGGUGGGGGAUGGGCUCGCGGCCUAUCAGCUUGUUGGUGGGGUGAAGGCCUACCAAGGCGGUGACGGGUAGCCGGCCUGAGAGGGUGGGCGGUCACACUGGGACUGUGAUACGGCCCAGACUCCUACGGGAGGCAGCAGUGGGGGAUUUUGCACAAUGGGCGCAAGCCUGAUGCAGCGACGCCGCGUGAGGGAUGAAGGCCUUCGGGUUGUAAACCUCUUUCGCUGGGUUGAAAGGCCAUGCUUUGGGUGUGGUUGAUUUGAACUGGUAAAGAAGUACCGGCUAACUACGUG
Molecule: ribosomal RNA, 486 nt
Filed under: uncultured bacterium
Lineage: Bacteria
Description: partial 16S ribosomal RNA
Rfam family: Bacterial small subunit ribosomal RNA
Source: RNAcentral